This 484-nucleotide ribosomal RNA is filed under the name uncultured bacterium. RNAcentral's name for it is "partial 16S ribosomal RNA". It matches the Rfam family "Bacterial small subunit ribosomal RNA", at positions 30 to 507 of the family's 1533-position model. The record is from RNAcentral.
AUUGAACGCUGGCGGCAGGCCUAACACAUGCAAGUCGAGCGGAUGAAGGGAGCUUGCUCCUGGAUUCAGCGGCGGACGGGUGAGUAAUGCCUAGGAAUCUGCCUGGUAGUGGGGGAUAACGUCCGGAAACGGGCGCUAAUACCGCAUACGUCCUGAGGGAGAAAGUGGGGGAUCUUCGGAUCUCACGCUUUCAGAUGAGCCUAGGUCGGAUUAGCUAGUUGGUGGGGUAAAGGCCUACCAAGGCGACGAUCCGUAACUGGUCUGAGAGGAUGAUCAGUCACACUGGAACUGAGACACGGUCCAGACUCCUACGGGAGGCAGCAGUGGGGAAUAUUGGACAAUGGGCGAAAGCCUGAUCCAGCCAUGCCGCGUGUGUGAAGAAGGUCUUCGGAUUGUAAAGCACUUUAAGUUGGGAGGAAGGGCAGUAAGUUAAUACCUUGCUGUUUUGACGUUACCAACAGAAUAAGCACCGGCUAACUUCGUG